UACGGAGGGAGCUAGCGUUAUUCGGAAUUACUGGGCGUAAAGCGCACGUAGGCGGCUUUGUAAGUUAGAGGUGAAAGCCCGGGGCUCAACUCCGGAAUUGCCUUUAAGACUGCAUCGCUCGAAUUGUGGAGAGGUAAGUGGAAUUCCGAGUGUAGAGGUGAAAUUCGUAGAUAUUCGGAAGAACACCAGUGGCGAAGGCGACUUACUGGACACAUAUUGACGCUGAGGUGCGAAAAGCGUGGGGGAGCAAACAGG
RNAcentral lists this ribosomal RNA (255 nucleotides) under uncultured bacterium. Its description in RNAcentral is "partial 16S ribosomal RNA". It matches the Rfam family "Bacterial small subunit ribosomal RNA", at positions 524 to 776 of the family's 1533-position model. The record is from RNAcentral.